This 408-nucleotide ribosomal RNA is filed under the name uncultured bacterium. Its description in RNAcentral is "partial 16S ribosomal RNA". It matches the Rfam family "Bacterial small subunit ribosomal RNA", at positions 29 to 526 of the family's 1533-position model. The record is from RNAcentral.
AGUGAACGCUGGCGGCGUGCCUAAUACAUGCAAGUCGAACGGAGUGGCUCACGGGUGAGUAAUUUAUAGCUAAUCUGCCCUACACUAGAGGACAACAGUUGGAAACAGCUGCUAAUACUCUAUAGUGUAGGUUGAGACUAUAUUGUAUCAGCUAGUUGGUGAGGUAAUGGCUCACCAAGGCUAUGACGCAUAACUGGUCUGCGAGGAUGAUCAGUCACACUGGAACUGAGACGCCGUGCGGACUCCUACGGAAGGCAGCAGAAGGGAAUAUUGCUCAACGGGGGGAACCCUGAAGCAGCAACGCCUCGUGGAGGAUGACACUUUGCGGAGCGUAAACUCCUUUUGUUAGGGAAGCGGUACCUAACGAAUAAGCACCGGCUAACUCCGUGCCAGCAGCCGCGGUAAUUC